Molecule: ribosomal RNA, 430 nt
Filed under: uncultured eukaryote
Lineage: Eukaryota
Description: partial 18S ribosomal RNA
Rfam family: Eukaryotic small subunit ribosomal RNA
Source: RNAcentral
UAAUAGUGUAUAUUAAAGUUGUUGCAGUUAAAAAGCUCGUAGUCGGAGAAUGUGGGGUCUUUGGCGCAAGCCUGGAGGUUGAGGGUCGGUGGAAACGCCGCACGCCGAGACCAGACCCCAUAACUAGGGCCACGUACACGUUACGGGGCCCACUUUACUUUGAACAAACUAUAGUGUUCCAAGCAGGCUUUUUUUAACAAAACUCGCCGUGAGUAUCUCAGCAAGGAAUAAACACGUAGGACACUGGUUCUAUCUUGUUGGGCGUAGGGGUUCUACCUCUGCGCGGCAUUCGAAAGGAUGUCUCUCACAACCAGAGUAAUGAUUAAUAGGGUCAGUCGGGGGCGUUGGUAUUCCGUUGUCAGAGGUGAAAUUCUUAGAUUUACGGAAGACUAACUAAUGCGAAAGCAUUCGCCAAGGAUGUUUUCAUUGA